CCUCCUUAUAAAGACUGGUUAUUUAUUUGUAUUUGAGUGCCCACAUAGUUUGUUUGAUUUAUUGUUAUUAAUGAAUUUAGACCAAAGAGUAUUCGCUAAGGCGAAUAUUUUUUUGCCUAAGUUUAUUAGGAUUGCUUAAAGCAACAGUUAUUUAAAAAUUUGGAAGAAACAAAGUACAAUGCAUUUUUACAUGUAUAAAUACAUAUAAUUAUAGUAUUAAAAGAAAUUCAUAUUUAAAAGGGUGUGUUUGGAUUUUGGUAUUAUUAAAUUCUCAAAGAUUUGAGGCGAGCAAUCGCCGCAAAAAUAUUGCAAGAGAUUUUGUGCUAAUCGAGGCGGAGCCGCGAAGAUUUGAAGGAGUGUACAUCAGGUACAUGACUGAAGAGCUGAGUGGUGACAACGAAGAGUANGGCAAAAUAUCGCCGUAAGAAGAGGGUUUGGGUUAUAUGGUCAAGUAAUUAAGCGCAAACGGUGGAUGCCUUGGCAGUAAAGGCGAUGAAGGACGUGUUAUUCUGCGAUAAGCUAAGNA
Molecule: unclassified non-coding RNA, 526 nt
Filed under: uncultured Gammaproteobacteria bacterium
Lineage: Bacteria; Pseudomonadati; Pseudomonadota; Gammaproteobacteria
Description: partial 16S-23S ribosomal RNA intergenic spacer
Source: RNAcentral